CUUUACCGGGACUAUGUGCUCCUAUGUCUUUAUUGGCUGUUACAGAAUGAGUGGCAGGCAGAUUGGUUAUGAAAAUAUGGCCCCCGACGGAGAGGGUCGAGAUCCCAGGAAACCUAGACUCAGCAGAGCCUCUACCGGCACCCCGCCUCUUUCCAGCGCCCCAGCUGGAGAAGGGGCCGGCACCCCCGCCCAACCGCGAUGCCUAAAGAGGAAGCUGCGUGGCCCCUUGCGUGCUGUGGCUGCUUCUCCCAAGUACAGGAGGCACGUGCGCUUCUGCGUUUUCCCGACAGGCGGCGCUGUUCUAAUGAAGGAUAACCCAGGCUGCUCUCUACAUCUCAAGAGCUUGAGGACCAGCCCAGCUGCAAAGCAUCUGUCAUGUCAUGUUCUGUGAACUCAGAUGCCAUCCUGAGAGUCACCAUUCAUCCCAGCUCCAGCAUCAUUUAAUGAACUUUUACAAAUGUUUCCAUUGGGUACCCCAAGUUCCCCUGAGGAUGCAGAGUGCUUCAUCACCUGUGGGGAGCACUCUCAGACCCCUUGGCAGUAAGUCACUUCUCCUACUCUACCCACCAGAGACAAACACUUGUGUCUUCACUUCCUACUGAAAAUGAAUUAAUAGCCCUUCAACCUUUGGCUCUGGCUUCUCCUACUUAGCAAAGCAUCACUGGGAUUUGUCCACACUAUGUCAGUAUCAUCUUUUUUAAAUUGCUGAGUAGUAUUCAAGCUAGACAAGCCUUAGUCAACUUAUCCUGCCCCCUCCUGUUGAUGGCAUUAUGAUCUUUGUUGCUGACAUUGUUUAUCCCCUGGCUUGUAAUAUCCUCCUUGUCAUUGACCUGUGGACCCCACACAAAAUCACACCCAUAAGCCUUCCAAGACGCAGUGCGAAGGCUGGGGCUUUGAAAAACACUUUGUAAUCCACUGCCACACCUCAGCUCAGGGGACUGCUCCCUCCUCCCAACUUGUUCAUACUUUGACCUUUGUCCUUGACUGUUUUAUGAUCCUCACUUGUUUAUAGAUUUGACUCCUAUUACUGCAGCCCACACCGCAGAGGGCAGGAACCAGGGGGUUUCACUCUGCCUUAUACCUGGAGCUGCCUGGAGCAGGAGAGGCACAGGCCUGGCAAGCUGAAACCAAUCCUACCUUUUCCACCAUUAACAUAAUGAUCCUCAUGGGUUGUGAAUAAAAUGUCCCCACAAAGCUCUUGGCA
This 1204-nucleotide long non-coding RNA is filed under the name Mus spicilegus (steppe mouse). RNAcentral describes it as "lncRNA (ENSMSIG00000020775.1)". Lineage: Eukaryota; Metazoa; Chordata; Mammalia; Rodentia; Muridae. The record is from RNAcentral.